AAGGAUCAUUAACAAAUCAUGUGCUUUGCGUGCCUGUCAAGGGCACGUGAAACAUAAACCCAUGGGUCUUUGGGCCCAAGGUGAGUCAACUGGUGGGGAUGGGGGGGUGAUGUAAUGUCAUGGUCCCGCCUGCUGGUUGGCUGGCUAAGGUGCAAGGAGAGGAGGAGGGUAAUCCUCCCUCCCUCUUGCCCUUCACAUCAACCGUUUGUUUUAUCGUUUGACUAAGUCAUUGGCAUAUCAUAAUCUUAUACAACUUUUAACAAUGGAUCUCUUGGCUCUU
Molecule: unclassified non-coding RNA, 280 nt
Filed under: uncultured fungus
Lineage: Eukaryota; Fungi
Description: partial contains 18S rRNA, ITS1, 5.8S rRNA, ITS2 and 28S rRNA
Source: RNAcentral